GUGUUCACUUCAGCAGUACAUAUAUAAAAUUGGAACGAUACAGAGAAGAUUAGCAUGGCCUCUGUGUAAGGAUGACACGCAAAUUCGUGAAGCGUUCCGUAAUUUU
Cercocebus atys (sooty mangabey) is the source of this 106-nucleotide small nuclear RNA. NCBI's taxonomy places the organism in Eukaryota, Metazoa, Chordata, Mammalia, Primates, Cercopithecidae. The record is from Ensembl.